Phyllopteryx taeniolatus (common seadragon) is the source of this 267-nucleotide long non-coding RNA. RefSeq lists it as uncharacterized. The transcript is spliced from 3 exons. The record is from RefSeq and is a predicted model, not a curated record. Lineage: Eukaryota; Metazoa; Chordata; Actinopteri; Syngnathiformes; Syngnathidae.
UCAUGAGGCAAUUUGUGAUCUUGGCGAAGGAGAAUCGAGUUCCACCCUGUCUCUUGCCUAGAGACAUGAUGCUGUGGUUGCUGCGAAGUAGAAACUUACCACAAGAGAAAGUUCCGGGAAAUGCAAAUGAGAGUGGGUGCCAGGAUGUUCAAUCUCCUUUUUGUGGACCGGAUAAAGGCAAGGAUCCUCUGUUUGAAUAAGAUGCAGAGAGAAGUGUGCAGGGACCUAGACGAAGAGGAAAGCAAGGCCUUCGCAGUUGCUGGGGAG